RNAcentral lists this ribosomal RNA (468 nucleotides) under uncultured bacterium. Its description in RNAcentral is "partial 16S ribosomal RNA". It matches the Rfam family "Bacterial small subunit ribosomal RNA", at positions 28 to 507 of the family's 1533-position model. The record is from RNAcentral.
GACGAACGCUGGCGGCGUGCUUAACACAUGCAAGUCGAACGGAAAGGCCCUGCUUUUGUGGGGUGCUCGAGUGGCGAACGGGUGAGUAACACGUGAGUAACCUGCCCUUGACUUUGGGAUAACUUCAGGAAACUGGGGCUAAUACCGGAUAGGAGCUCCUGCUGCAUGGUGGGGGUUGGAAAGUUUCGGCGGUUGGGGAUGGACUCGCGGCUCAUCAGCUUGUUGGUGGGGUAGUGGCUUACCAAGGCUUUGACGGGUAGCCGGCCUGAGAGGGUGACCGGCCACAUUGGGACUGAGAUACGGCCCAGACUCCUACGGGAGGCAGCAGUGGGGAAUAUUGCACAAUGGGCGGAAGCCUGAUGCAGCAACGCCGCGUGCGGGAUGACGGCCUUCGGGUUGUAAACCGCUUUCGCCUGUGACGAAGCGUGAGUGGCGGUAAUGGGUAAAGAAGCACCGGCUAACUACGUG